RNAcentral lists this long non-coding RNA (1883 nucleotides) under Homo sapiens (human). RNAcentral's name for it is "HSALNT0299904". The record is from RNAcentral. Lineage: Eukaryota; Metazoa; Chordata; Mammalia; Primates; Hominidae.
CUUCGGUGCGCGUGCUGGAGAGCGGCAGGAGCUCGGCCUUCUUAGGGUGUUUGGGACCCCAUCCAGCGUGGUUUUGCUUUAGUUCCCCGCCCAGGGAGAGGAGCUCGGCAAGCAGCACCGGGUUUAUUCUUGCUCAUUUAUUCAAAAGAAAGGUACUGAGUUUGAAAAUGCACCAAGCACUGGAGAGAAGAGAAAGGUGAAAGGACCUCGGGGCCUGCCUGUAAGAGGCUCAGGAUGUGAUGUGGCUGGGGAUGAGGCCCGGUGGCACCUUCAACGCAGGAGAGGAGGGGGUCUGGAUCCCACCGUCAGAGCACGCACGCAACCUGUCCACUCCCUCAGGACUGCAGAAAAGGUCCAUUCUUGUAUUUCUUUUUAAGUUGAAUUAAAUCCAUCUCUAGCCCCUGCCUCUGAACUGAUGGAGUCUGGCUGUCAUUGGGCCUCCCUCACCCGCAAGGGGUGGAACCAGAGCUUGGGGCUGAGGCGCUCCUGGAGUGUUUAGCGCCUCUGCUGUCAGGACAUCCUGUGGCCACUGGCACGCUGUCUGCCCACACAGUGCCCCCGACCAGCAGCGGAGCCACCCACUCUCCACAGCCAGGGUUGGGAGCCCUGGGGCCCGAGUCCCCGGUCCCACGUGCCACACAAGGCAGGACAUUCUGGGUGCUGUCGCAUCCCCGGAAUCAGGGCCUGGACCCUGGUCAGAGCAGGACCUGCAGGUGACCCCGGGUGGGGCAGACUGUCUUCUGUCCUUGGUGGCAAAGCCGGUGUUCUCGGCGUCAUGUCUGCACACGUGUGCCUGAAGCCACGGGAACGCAGGGGCUACCUCUGGGCCUGGGCCUGGACCUGUGGAGCAGGAUCGGGGAGGACACACAGGUGGGCGUCUCAAGAACUGUGGUGUACACAGCUGAGCCCCUGCAGCUCUGCUUUGCCGGGCCUCACCCUCGGUGCUGGGUGCAAGACGUGACAAGAUGGCAUGGGAAGCUUCCCGGGGAACGCUGGAACUGGGUGUUUGAAGGAGGACCUCAUGGCGGCAGCUCCAGCCCAAGUACUGCAACUGUGGGGCCGUGCCAGGAGCAGGUGCUGCGGAGCCUGUGUGGGUCCAGGACAAGAGUUCCCAGGAGAACCUGGUGCUGCUGCUUCGGGGACCCCACUUUGAGGACCACUGAUCUAACACUGCCCCUCGUGGCAAACGCGGAAUGACUCAAGAUUCAGCUGGAUGGAUCAUUCAGGGAGCAAAUCCACCCUUGCCGCCUGGCACACCCUGGCCAUUCGGUAACGAUGCCAUCAGGGUUACUGGCUUCUUCAUUCUCCACUGUGCAUUCCAGGGUGGGCAUUUCCACAGUUGUGAGCCCAUCAUCAACUCAGCGAGUUCCCAUUUUCCAGUUAGAAAAUAAGCUUUCUGAUCGUUAGCCAUUCACUUCAAUUGGCUCUAGAAAAGAUUUCUGGGAUGUAUAAUUUAUUUUUAACAUAAAGAAAAGCUAAGUGUAAACUAGAUAAGCUACAAUUGUCCCAGACGUUAUAGACACUCACAGCACCGUUUUCCUCUUCUAGCAAAACAAAACAAAAAAUUCUGCAAUCAUACAGGCAGUAGGAAAAAAAAAUUAGCUGGACACCAUGGCUCACACCUGUAACCCCAGCACUUUGGGAGGCCGAGGUGGGAGGAUCACUUGAGGCCAGGAGUUAGGGACUGGCCUGGGCAACAUAGUGAGAUCCCAUCUUUAUAAAAAUAAAAAAAAUCUGGGCGUGGUGGAGCACACUUGUGGUCCUAGCUACUCAGGAGGCUGAGAGUGGGGAAUCGUUUGAUCCCAGGAGGUUGAGGCUGGAGUGAACCAUGUUUGCACCACUGCACUUCAGCCUGGAUGGAUGACAGAGUAAGAUCCUGUCUC